UACAACCAUAUCCCGUUGAAACACAGGUUCCCGUACGAUCAUCGAAGUUAAGAAGCAUUGAGCCUAGUCAGUACUCAGAUGGGUAACUACUUGGGAAUACCAGGUGUGGUA
Non-coding RNA from Acanthosepion pharaonis, 111 nucleotides. NCBI's taxonomy places the organism in Eukaryota, Metazoa, Mollusca, Cephalopoda, Sepiida, Sepiidae. The record is from the annotation of a GenBank genome assembly.